This is a long non-coding RNA of Gadus morhua (Atlantic cod), 613 nucleotides long. RefSeq lists it as uncharacterized. The record is from RefSeq and is a predicted model, not a curated record. The transcript is spliced from 3 exons. NCBI's taxonomy places the organism in Eukaryota, Metazoa, Chordata, Actinopteri, Gadiformes, Gadidae.
AUUCUCCAUUUCACCUUCCUGGGGAGUACAAGAACAUACAGAAAGGGCAUGACACUCCACAAAGACCCCCUCUCAUUCAAAUCUGGUAACGUUAAUACAGCAGAGAUGUGUUACCACUGACAUUUACAGUGUGGAAAAGGGGAGAGGAGAGUCCAACUGUUUGUUGAGGAGCCGCUGCUGCCUGUGCUGUUGCUGUUGUCCGACAUCGCCCUCUUCAGGCUCAGAAACCAACAGCAGGGGACAGAUCAAGACUGAUUCUGCAUACGUCAAUAAAAACAAAACAACGAGGGUUCAUGCCUAAAAAGAAUUACGGCGAACGUGGAAUGGAAACAUGUUAAUGAUCAAGAACCAUGCAGUUAGAAUCAAUCAGCUGAAUAUGCAGUGGAAGGAGACAUGUAGUAAGUUAGACUUUAACUGUCUGGUUGAAGCCAUUACAUGGCACUUUCCUGAAGCAAACAAUUGAUGAACAACACUUCUUAGAACAUUUUAGUGCGUGAUUUACAGGCACUCAUUCAUUCUCUCUCUUGGUGAUAGAUGACCAAAAAUGGCAAAAUACAGACAUCGGCGUCAUUUAACCUUCGUACGAGCCCAAAUACCAUGGUUCCGACAUAUC